UACGUAGGGUGCAAGCGUUGCCCGGAUUUAUUGGGCGUAAAGGGCGCGUAGGCGGCUCUGCACGUUCGUUGUGAAAUCGCCCGGCUCAACUGGGCGGGGUCAGCGGAUACGGCAGAGCUUGAGCAAGCUAGGGGGCAAUGGAAUUCCCGGUGUAGUGGUGAAAUGCGUAGAUAUCGGGAGGAACAUCAGUGGCGAAGGCGGCUAUCUGGACGGUUUCUGACGCUAAGACGCGAAAGCGUGGGGAGCAAACAGG
RNAcentral lists this ribosomal RNA (253 nucleotides) under uncultured bacterium. RNAcentral's name for it is "partial 16S ribosomal RNA". It matches the Rfam family "Bacterial small subunit ribosomal RNA", at positions 524 to 776 of the family's 1533-position model. The record is from RNAcentral.